UGGGAUUAGAUACCCCACUAUGCCUAGCCCUAAACUUAGAUAGCAAAAUACUACCUAUCCGCCAGAGAACUACAAGCAAAAUACUUAAAACUCAAAGGACUUGGCGGCAUUCCAUAUCAACCUAGAGGAGCCCGUCCAAUAAUCGAUACUACACGCUUAACCCAACCAUUUUUGGCCACUCCAGCCUAUAUACCGCCGUCGUCAGCUAACCUUGUGAAAGAAAAAGAGUAAGCAUAAUAGUCCUCACUAAAACGUCAGGUCAAGGUGUAGCUAAUAAAAUGGGUGUGAUAGGCUACAUUUUCUACCAUAGAAAAAACGGAAAAUACAAUGAAACCUUGUAAUAGAAGGUGAAUUUAGAAGUAAAAUAAGAAAGAAUUCUUAUUUUAACACCGCCCUGGAAUGCGCACACACCGCCCGUCACCCUCCUCAAACAACUUAGAUGAGGCAAG
This 449-nucleotide ribosomal RNA is filed under the name Cordylus ukingensis. Its description in RNAcentral is "partial 12S ribosomal RNA". It matches the Rfam family "Bacterial small subunit ribosomal RNA", at positions 773 to 1430 of the family's 1533-position model. The record is from RNAcentral. Lineage: Eukaryota; Metazoa; Chordata; Lepidosauria; Squamata; Cordylidae.